ACACUCCUACGGGAGGCAGCAGUGGGGAAUUUUGGACAAUGGGCGAAAGCCUGAUCCAGCAAUGCCGCGUGAGUGAAGAAGGCCUUCGGGUUGUAAAGCUCUUUUGUCAGGGAAGAAACGGUGAGAGCUAAUAUCUCUUGCUAAUGACGGUACCUGAAGAAUAAGCACCGGCUAACUACGUGCCAGCAGCCGCGGUAAUACGUAGGGUGCAAGCGUUAAUCGGAAUUACUGGGCGUAAAGCGUGCGCAGGCGGUUUUGUAAGUCUGAUGUGAAAUCCCCGGGCUCAACCUGGGAAUUGCAUUGGAGACUGCAAGGCUAGAAUCUGGCAGAGGGGGGUAGAAUUCCACGUGUAGCAGUGAAAUGCGUAGAUAUGUGGAGGAACACCGAUGGCGAAGGCAGCCCCCUGGGUCAAGAUUGACGCUCAUGCACGAAAGCGUAGGGAGCAAACAGGAUUAGAUACCCGUGUAGUCCCAUG
Molecule: ribosomal RNA, 475 nt
Filed under: uncultured organism
Description: partial 16S ribosomal RNA
Rfam family: Bacterial small subunit ribosomal RNA
Source: RNAcentral